RNAcentral lists this non-coding RNA (93 nucleotides) under Salisediminibacterium beveridgei. RNAcentral describes it as "Bacillus beveridgei c-di-GMP sequence". It matches the Rfam family "c-di-GMP-I riboswitch aptamer". From Rfam's summary of the family: GEMM was predicted in a large-scale screen for bacterial structured RNA regulatory elements. The record is from RNAcentral. Lineage: Bacteria; Bacillati; Bacillota; Bacilli; Caryophanales; Bacillaceae.
UCUCGAUAAAGGCAAACCUGAUGAAAGUCAGGGACGCAAAGCUAGAGGGGCUUCCGGACAAGGGAAAUCGUCCGAUGCCAGCCAGUUACCGAA